Molecule: ribosomal RNA, 497 nt
Filed under: uncultured bacterium
Lineage: Bacteria
Description: partial 16S ribosomal RNA
Rfam family: Bacterial small subunit ribosomal RNA
Source: RNAcentral
GAUGAACGCUGGCGGCGUGCCUAAUACAUGCAAGUCGAGCGAACAGACGAGGAGCUUGCUCCUCUGACGUUAGCGGCGGACGGGUGAGUAACACGUGGAUAACCUACCUAUAAGACUGGGAUAACUUCGGGAAACCGGAGCUAAUACCGGAUAAUAUAUUGAACCGCAUGGUUCAAUAGUGAAAGACGGUUUUGCUGUCACUUAUAGAUGGAUCUGCGCCGCAUUAGCUAGUUGGUAAGGUAACAGCUUACCAAGGCAACGAUGCGUAGCCGACCUGAGAGGCUGAUCGGCCACACUGGAACUGAGCCACGGUCCAGACUCCUACGGGAGGCGGCAGUAGGGAAUCUUCCGCAAUGGGCGAACGCCUGACGGAGCAACGCCGCGUGAGUGAUGAAGGUCUUCGGAUCGUAAAACUCUGUUAUUAGGGAAGAACAAAUGUGUAAGUAACUAUGCACGUCUUGACGGUACCUAAUCAGAAAGCCACGGCUAACUACGUG